This 1505-nucleotide long non-coding RNA is filed under the name Malus domestica (apple). Its description in RNAcentral is "long non-coding RNA (MDOM_LNC007799)". Lineage: Eukaryota; Viridiplantae; Streptophyta; Magnoliopsida; Rosales; Rosaceae. The record is from RNAcentral.
AUGGAUAAGAAAACAGAAAACACAAUUUGGAUUAAAAAAAAGCAGUGGAGCAUGGUGCUCUUUGGAUAAGAAAACAGCAAUGGAGCAUAGAGCACCUUCAAUUUGGAUGCAUAGGAGCACCUUCAGUUUGGAUGAGUAUAUAAUACUACUUCUAGGGUGGUUUAUUAUCCAUCCAAGUCUCGAUCGACGAAAUUCAGAAGGUUCAUCAUUAAGCUUUUCUUCUUUUGUAUGUUCAUUUGUUUAGGUUCUUCAUUUUUCUCUCUUUCUAGCUUUAGAAUACAGCGCAACAACAAUAAACUUCUCUAUUGACACAAUCACACAAGGGAAUUUCCUUUUGCGAUAAUUGUAGUUACAAAUUGACCAUAUUGUUGACACACUCUCAAAUAGAAUGAAAUGUGAGACACACUGUCUAAACUAAAGAGUGUGACGCUAACUUCGAAUGUCUAAAUGACGUUUCUUAAUUUUUCUCUUUUUGUGUGAGUAUAAAUCUCAAUAUUUGAUUUUAGCCUAAUUUAUGGUAAAUAUUUUGUAGCUCGCACAUAAGCAUUUGGAGUAAUUUGUACGUAGCUCGGAAAUAGAGGGCUUUUUUUUUUAUUAUUAUUAUUUUUUUAUCAGAGGCAUCCAUUUAUUUUUGUUGAAGUAGAGGCUUGGCUUUAUAAUAGUAGAGAUUAUGAUCCCGCUCUCCUCUUCCCUACUUUAUCUCUUCUCGUUUGCAUCUGUUGUCUCUUUUCCCUUGCUCUUCACUUCCCCUUUUCUUUUCUUCUUACAUAUUCACUGUUCCAUUUUCAUCUCUUCCCCAAAUCGAACAAAACUGAUCAAACUGAGCUGAAUCUGAACCGAACUAGUUAUACUAUUUAAUUUUAUUUGUGAUUUUUUGGGAUGAACCAAAUCGAACCAAACCGUUCUCACCUGUAAUUAGUUAGUGUUUAAACAUGUUUAUAGGGAUUUGAAUAAAUCUGCUGACUUCAUGCUCUUUGUGAUCUCUAAAUUGUUUAGUUAAUAUUUUAGAUUUACAACUGAUAAAUAAAAAAUAAAAUAAAAUAACGCAUAUAGAUUAAGAUAAAUUUUCGUAACAAUUGAAAGUAGGUGUCAGUCAAUAUAUAUUUCCAAAUGCUUGCGUUAUGGCUGAGAGAUAAUUUAUACACACGGCAGUGAAGCAAAUAAUACAGCGUACCUAGUCCUGUUCACUUGAGGAGAUAUUUUUUCAUGUAUUCGGAACAGGAACGGUACAUCAUGUGUUAUAAGAGGCACAACCGUGAUGCAUUUGGGAACUCGAGGCGUCUGUAUCACGUACAUGGGGUUUUUUUGGGGGGGGGGGAAGCUAUAUGACAGGUCAUCUGGGAACUCAAGGCGUCUGUAUCACGUACAUGGGGGAUGGGGGGGAAGGAUUUGGAUCCUCUCCUGAGCAAGAGAUCAUGAUCCUCGAGAUCAAACAACAUGGACCGUUGGAUUUUAAUCCAACGGUUAUAAUUAUUAUAACUUUUAGAAGGACUUCCUGUUUGUAG